Molecule: long non-coding RNA, 463 nt
Filed under: Panax ginseng (ginseng)
Lineage: Eukaryota; Viridiplantae; Streptophyta; Magnoliopsida; Apiales; Araliaceae
Description: long non-coding RNA (PGIN_LNC008904)
Source: RNAcentral
UUUGUUAUUUUCUUUAUGUCAUUAUUAGUUCCAUGUGAUUCUUUAUUGAAGCGUACACCAUUCACAGCUUUUGUUAUUGUGGGUUUUCUUUGAUGUAAUUAUUCGUUGUACCCAUUUAGGUUCUUGUUGAUUUGGCUCCGUUUUUUGUGAUUUAUCUGUUCAUCCUUCGUAAUUUUGUUACAUUUGUGGUGUUUAUGUUAUUUGCUAAACCUCAUUUUGCCUGUUCAUCUGUUUAAAUUCAGAUAUUAUCUAUCUGAAGUAUUUUGUUACAUUUGCAGAUAAUACCUUUACUGAAUUACUGUAUUAGCAUUAAUUUGGUUUUGUUUUGAGUAAUUUAUUGUGGCCAUUAAUUACCCCUACGUUAUUAUACAGAUCAAAUUGGGUUUAGAAACUUUGUUUUGGUUUUAGACGCACCUUACUUUUGUUUGGAUUUUCCCCUCAUUAUUGCAGAAACAAGUUAUAG